AGGGAAGAAUGCUGAAAAUCCUUAACAGAGUAGGCA
RNAcentral lists this non-coding RNA (36 nucleotides) under unclassified sequences. RNAcentral describes it as "DUF805b RNA". It matches the Rfam family "DUF805b RNA". Rfam says of the family: Bacteroidetes, Chlorobi (1 example), Proteobacteria. Lineage (Flavobacteria) The record is from RNAcentral.